AAGACCUUGCACUUUUGGAGCGGCCGAUGUCUGAUUAGCUAGUUGGUGGGGUAAUGGCCUACCAAAGCUUCGAUCAGUAGCUGGUCUGAGAGGACGGCCAGCCACACUGGGACUGAGACACGGCCCAGACUCCUACGGGAGGCAGCAGUGGGGAAUUUUGGACAAUGGGCGCAAGCCUGAUCCAGCCAUGCCGCGUGAGUGAAGAAGGCCUUCGGGUUGUAAAGCUCUUUCAGCCGGGAAGAAAAGGUUGCGACUAAUAAUCGCAAUCCAUGACGGUACCGAAAGAAGAAGCACCGGCUAACUACGUGCCAGCAGCCGCGGUAAUACGUAGGGUGCGAGCGUUAAUCGGAAUUACUGGGCGUAAAGGGUGCGCAGGCGGUUUUGUAAGUCAGAUGUGAAKUCCCCGGGCUUAACCUGGGAACU
RNAcentral lists this ribosomal RNA (423 nucleotides) under uncultured bacterium. RNAcentral's name for it is "bacterial SSU rRNA". It matches the Rfam family "Bacterial small subunit ribosomal RNA", at positions 207 to 622 of the family's 1533-position model. The record is from RNAcentral.